This 468-nucleotide ribosomal RNA is filed under the name uncultured bacterium. RNAcentral describes it as "bacterial SSU rRNA". It matches the Rfam family "Bacterial small subunit ribosomal RNA", at positions 28 to 526 of the family's 1533-position model. The record is from RNAcentral.
GAUAAACGUUGGCGGCGUGCAUGAGACAUGCAAGUCGAACGAACGAGCUUGCUCGUUAGUGGCGGACGGCUGAGUAACGCGUAGGUGACCUGCCCCGAAGUGGGGGAUAACUGCCCGAAAGGUGGCUAAUACCGCAUGUGGCGACGCCUUCAUUUGCGUCAUCAAAGCCGCGAGGCGCUUCGUGAGGGGCCUGCAUCCGAUUAGCUCGUUGGUGGGGUAAUGGCUCACCAAGGCGACGAUCGGUAGGGGGUCUGAGAGGACGAUCACCCAGACUGGGACUGAGACACGGCCCAGACUCCUACGGGAGGCAGCAGUCGGGAAUUUUGCUCAAUGGGCGCAAGCCUGAAGCAGCAACGCCGCGUGCGGGAUGAAGGCCUUCGGGUUGUAAACCGCUUUUACCAGGGACGAUAAUGACGGUACCUGAUGAAUAAGUCACGGCUAACUACGUGCCAGCAGCCGCGGUAAUAC